RNAcentral lists this ribosomal RNA (497 nucleotides) under uncultured bacterium. Its description in RNAcentral is "partial 16S ribosomal RNA". It matches the Rfam family "Bacterial small subunit ribosomal RNA", at positions 28 to 507 of the family's 1533-position model. The record is from RNAcentral.
GAUGAACGCUGGCGGCGUGCCUAAUACAUGCAAGUCGAGCGAACGGACGAGAAGCUUGCUUCUCUGAUGUUAGCGGCGGACGGGUGAGUAACACGUGUAUAACCUACCUAUAAGACUGGUAUAACUUCGGGAAACCGGAGCUAAUACCGGAUAAUAUUUUGAACCGCAUGGUUCAAAAGUUAAAGACGGUCUUGCUGUCACUUAUAGAUGGAUCCGCGCUGCAUUAGCUAGUUGGUAAGGUAACGGCUUACCAAGGCAACGAUGCAUAGCCGACCUGAUAGGGGGAUCGGCCACACUGGAAGUGAGACACGGUCCAGACUCCUACGGGAGGCAGCAGUAGGGAAUCUUCCGCAAUGGGCGAAAGCAUGACGGAGCAACGCCGCGUGAGUGAUGAAGGUCUUCGGAUCGUAAAACUCUGUUAUUAGGGAAGAACAUAUGUGUAAGUAACUGUGCACAUCUUGACGGUAACUAAUAAGAAAGCCACGGCUAACUACGUG